Neofelis nebulosa (Clouded leopard) is the source of this 1251-nucleotide long non-coding RNA. RefSeq lists it as uncharacterized. The record is from RefSeq and is a predicted model, not a curated record. Lineage: Eukaryota; Metazoa; Chordata; Mammalia; Carnivora; Felidae. The transcript is spliced from 3 exons.
UCUGAUCGGUUGAUGCCUUUGCCUUUUUGACUGAUAAUACUUUACUAUCAUUCCUGUAGGUGGUUAACAGAGGCACAAAGCACUCAUAUACGGCGAUCAGAGGAAGAAAUAACUUCAUGAUAUGAGAACGGUGCCUGAUGAAAUCAGUCUGGAAGGGAGGGAUGCAACCUCCAGCCAAACCCAACAGAUCAGGUGAUGUUUUAUUUCUAGGUAUCUACUCAAAACCCCUGUCCCUGUGGGCACAAGGGGGACUCCAGAUUCAUGGCACUUAUAAUCCAGAUGCAAGGAUGCCCCUAACCACGAUUUCAUGUUUCCGUUCGAAUGUCGCUGUCUCAACAAGACCUUCCCUAACUACCAGCGGUAAGCUGAAGCCAGCUACCACCAGCUCGCGAGAGUAGACGGUGAAAUUUUCAGAAAAUCUGCAAGCCAGUUAGUAUAUACAAUCAUUAAUUCCCUCCAAGGAGACAAUAGGCAGGGGCUGGAGACACUUUUGGUUAUCACAGCUGAGAGACUGGUACUGCUGGCAUCUUGUGAGCAGAGGCCUGGGAUACUGCUAACCUCUUACAACAUACGUGGCGGCCCCCGUACAAAAGAAUUAUGUGGCUGAAAGAUCAAGGGUACUGAGGUGAGUGACCUUACCACUCUAAGGUAGCCUCACUCCCCCACAUCCACCCAGCCCUCCCUUCCUUCUUUUCUGUAGGGUUUUCUCAGCACCUCACAGCUGUUAAUAACCGACAUGCCAACCUCUAACAGUCAACUGUGAGGAAGACAGAGGAGACUGCGGACUUGCUUCAGGAUUCCCUGAGCUGAGGAACACAGACGCUUUAACUGACCUUUACAGCCCAGUGUGGUAAAUGUUAGCAUUGGGGAAAUAUGAAAGAGGUUAUUAAACCCAGGCUUGGAACAUCAGGGAGGACUUCCUGUAGAAAGUAGCUUCAGUGUUAAGACUUCAGGCAGAGGAAGACUGAAUCGGAGAAGGGUGUAUGGGGGAUAGCUUUUAUUAUGGAGCACUUUCUGUGUUUGGAUCACUAUGCUGAGUAUUUUACUAUCUCAUUUAAUCCCUGAAACGCUUUCUGAGGUUUAUACUAUUGCUAUUUCUGUUUUAUAGCUGGGGCCACUGAAGCCUAGGUAUAUUAAUAACUUGCCUAAAGCCACACAGCUAAGAAAUGUUGAAGCAGGGCUUUGAACCCAGGUCUGUAGAUUCCAAAGCCAGACAGGAAGGGAUUGCUACUUACAGAGGACAAAAGGGUA